UACGUAGGGUGCAAGCGUUAAUCGGAACUACUGGGCGUAAAGGGUGCGCAGGCGGCUCCGCAUGUCAGGCGUGAAAGCCCCGGGCUUAACCUGGGAAUGGCGCUUGAAACUACGGAGCUGGAGUGUGGCAGAGGGAGGUGGAAUUCCACGUGUAGCGGUGAAAUGCGUAGAGAUGUGGAGGAACACCGAUGGCGAAGGCAGCCUCCUGGGCCAACUCUGACGC
This 223-nucleotide ribosomal RNA is filed under the name uncultured prokaryote. RNAcentral describes it as "partial 16S ribosomal RNA". It matches the Rfam family "Bacterial small subunit ribosomal RNA", at positions 524 to 746 of the family's 1533-position model. The record is from RNAcentral.